GCCAAGGCUUUUUUAAAGCCAUCCCACAAAAACAACAACAAUAAA
This is a non-coding RNA of Drosophila willistoni, 45 nucleotides long. Lineage: Eukaryota; Metazoa; Arthropoda; Insecta; Diptera; Drosophilidae. The record is from Rfam.